UUGACCUCGGAUCAGGUAGGGAUACCCGCUGAACUUAAGCAUAUCAAUAAGCGGAGGAAAAGAAACCAACAGGGAUUGCCUCAGUAACGGCGAGUGAAGCGGCAACAGCUCAAAUUUGAAAUCUGGUCCUUUCAGGGCCCGAGUUGUAAUUUGUAGAGGAUGUUUCGGGUGCGACGCGGGUCUAAGUCCUUUGGAACAGGGCGUCAUAGAGGGUGAGAAUCCCGUAUGUGACCCGUGAUCAAGCCCAUGUGAAACCCCUUCGACGAGUCGAGUUGUUUGGGAAUGCAGCUCAAAAUGGGUGGUAAAUUUCAUCUAAAGCUAAAUACCGGCCAGAGACCGAUAGCGCACAAGUAGAGUGAUCGAAAGAUGAAAAGCACUUUGGAAAGAGAGUCAAAAAGUACGUGAAAUUGUUGAAAGGGAAGCGCUUGCAACCAGACCUGUCCGCAGGCGAUCAAUUCCCGUUCUCGGGGGUGCACUCGUCUGUGAUCAGGCCAGCAUCGGUUCGGGCGGUCGGAUAAAGGCCUUGGGAAUGUAGCUCCUUCCGGGGAGUGUUAUAGCCCUCGGUGCAAUGCGGCCAGCCCGGACCGAGGACCGCGCCUUCGGGCUAGGAUGCUGGCGUAAUGGUUGUAAGCGACCCGUCUUGAAACACGGACCAAGGAGUCUAACAUCUAUGCAAGUGUUUGGGUGUCAAACCCAUACGCGUAAUGAAAGUGAACGGAGGUGAGAACCCUUAAGGGCGCAUCAUCGACCGAUCCAGAUGUCUUCGGAUGGAUUUGAGUAUGAGCAUAGCUGUUGGGACCCGAAAGAUGGUGAACUAUGCCUGAAUAGGGUGAAGCCAGGGGAAACCCUGGUGGAGGCUCGCAGCGGUUCUGACGUGCAAAUCGAUCGUCAAAUUUGGGUAUAGGGGCGAAAGACUAAUCGAACCAU
RNAcentral lists this ribosomal RNA (927 nucleotides) under Cladonia gracilis. RNAcentral's name for it is "eukaryotic LSU rRNA". It matches the Rfam family "Eukaryotic large subunit ribosomal RNA", at positions 1 to 943 of the family's 3401-position model. Lineage: Eukaryota; Fungi; Ascomycota; Lecanoromycetes; Lecanorales; Cladoniaceae. The record is from RNAcentral.